Molecule: unclassified non-coding RNA, 65 nt
Filed under: Yersinia enterocolitica (type O:5,27) str. YE149/02
Lineage: Bacteria; Pseudomonadati; Pseudomonadota; Gammaproteobacteria; Enterobacterales; Yersiniaceae
Source: RNAcentral
CACGCACGCAGUUACUGCGCAAGUCGGGGACGACCCCACCAAAAAAGAAUGAGCCGGCAGCGCCA